RNAcentral lists this long non-coding RNA (370 nucleotides) under Ananas comosus (pineapple). RNAcentral's name for it is "long non-coding RNA (ACOM_LNC015803)". The record is from RNAcentral. Lineage: Eukaryota; Viridiplantae; Streptophyta; Magnoliopsida; Poales; Bromeliaceae.
UAGGUAACUAAGUUCAAAUUUUUUUUUAAAAAAAAUAGCAUACUAUUUAUUUUAUUUAUUUUUUAAAAAAAUAAACUUCGUUAGAAAUAUAAAUUAAUUAUAAUUCAAACUUGAGACAUCGAGUACCAACUAUCAAAUCUUUUUCCACUUGUACUAGCAUGCUAUCCGCUUUUUUAUUUCAUUCAGAAAUAAAUUUAACUGAAAAUGUGAAUCAACUAGGAUUUUAAUUUGGGAUCUCGGAUACCAACUACUAAAUCCUUUGCUACUUGCGCUAGGAACAGUCGGUAAUAAUUAAUAUGGCAUCUUGAUGAGCAAUAAAAUAUAGUAAAAAACAACCGUCCUAACGCAAGUGAUAAAAGACUAAUUGGUU